This 320-nucleotide long non-coding RNA is filed under the name Pan troglodytes (chimpanzee). Its description in RNAcentral is "long non-coding RNA NONPTRT013428". Lineage: Eukaryota; Metazoa; Chordata; Mammalia; Primates; Hominidae. The record is from RNAcentral.
UUAGCUUAUAUAGAAGUAUUUAUGUAAAAAGAAUUGUUUAUACUUCCAUUUUCAGCUCCAACAUGUAAAUAGCUUGGAAUUCAUAACUUCCAUUCUUGCAAAAAAAGCUGUACAAAUGAAAAAUUUUCCCCUGCUGUCUUUCAAAGAUAUCUUCAUAAUAAAUCAAAUGUCUGCACAAGAGAAUUUACAUCUUUAAAAUAUAUUCUAUAAGUUCUAUCAAUAUACUUUUGUAGUUGUUUGUGCAUUGCUUAAUAUCCAAAUGUUUGAAUAUACACAAAUUGUCUUUGUAUUAUUUAUUCUUAGCUUGAUUUUGCUGUGUU